AGGGCACCACCAGGAGUGGAGCCUGCGGCUUAAUUUGACUCAACACGGGAAAACUCACCCGGCCCGGACACCGUAAGGAUUGACAGACUGAGAGCUCUUUCUUAAUUCGGUGGGUGGUGGUGCAUGGCCGUUCUUAGUUGGUGGAGCGAUUUGUCUGGUUAAUUCCGAUAACGAACGAGACUCUGGCCUAUUAAAUAGACGGUAUAUCUAGAAAAAGUAUACCGCGCUUCUUAGAGGGACAACCGGCGUCUAGCCGCGUGAAAUAGAGCAAUAACAGGUCUGUGAUGCCCUUAGAUGUCCGGGGCUGCACGCGCGCUACACUGGAAGAAUCAGUAUGCGCCGUCGCCUAGUUCGGAAGAACCGGGUAACCCGAGCAAAUUCUUUCGUGCUUGGGAUAGGGAAUUGCAAUUAUUUCCCUUAAACGAGGAAUUCCCAGUAAAUGCGGGUCAUAAGCUCGCGUUGAUUACGUCCCUGCCCUUUGUACACACCGCCCGUCGCUACUACCGAUUGGAUGACUUA
This 519-nucleotide ribosomal RNA is filed under the name uncultured eukaryote. Its description in RNAcentral is "SSU rRNA". It matches the Rfam family "Eukaryotic small subunit ribosomal RNA", at positions 1161 to 1700 of the family's 1831-position model. The record is from RNAcentral.